UGCAGUUCAAUGUACAUCAAUUGCACCUCAAUAAAGCUGUUAAAGAGAAAACGAGGAACAAACAAAACCUUCUAGCUGUGCUUCCUAUUCAUAAAUGAGGUUGCAGAAUAAUGUCCUCCAAGGAUGUUCCUGGCUUUAUCUAUGGACCUGGAGAUGUGAGCUGUGGAACUGGGUAGGACUGUAUAUAUUUUACCUUACAUGGCAAAGGAGCUUUGCAGGUAUAAUCAAAGGUAUGGACCGUGAAGUCAGGAGAUUAUCCUGGGUUAAUGGCAUGGGCACAAUAUAAUCACGUGAGUCCUAAAAAGGGAAGAAACUUCCCUGAUUGGGUCACAGAGAUGAGACAGAAGAGGAAGGAGGAGAGAUUUGAAGAACUCAACUUGCCAUUGCUGGCUUUGAAGGUGAGCGAGGGGGCCAUGAGCCAAGGAAUGUGGCAGCUUCUAGAAGCUGGGAAUGGGCCUCAGUUUACAGGAAGCAAGUAGACAAGACUUCAGUCCUUCUCCCAUCACAAAGAACUAAAUUCUGCAAAUAACCCAAAUGAGUAAGAAACAGAUUCUCCCUUAAAAUCUCCAGAAAGAAAUGCAGCCUGCAGAUACCUGGUUUGUAGUCCGACUUUGAAAGGCAACAGACUCCAAGGGGAAAUAUCAUAGACUUUUCCAGACACCUACCUAUUCUCUCUUCAGGGUUUAAAACCUGAAAACAGAUUGCCUGGGUUUAAAUACUGGCUCCACUCUACACCUUACGACUUGCUUAGCAGUUGGAGACAGCAGUGGUACACUGAAAGCGAGGCUGAAAUGAGCCUAUUCAUGUAAAACACUUUUAACAAUGCCUGACCUCAUGAGAGGAGAAGGUGGCACCAGUGGCUCGUCUGGAGCCAGGAUGGCUGUGCAUGCUUGGAUGGGGCAGUAGGAAUUGACCACCUCUUACUAUUUCCAAUGAAAUUCCCUGAACAAAUUUGGGGGACUUGGGGAUCUGUUUAUAAGGCCUCUUCAGACCUUCAUCUGGGAGCCUUUUAUGGGGCAGGUGGAUAUCCUACUGGAGCCGUGAGCUGCCUUCAGAGACCAUCUUUCCCUUGGAAUAUGGCAGCUGACUGAAAAUGAGAUUAACCCUAAAGGCAUGUACCACAGAUAUUUUAACUCUUUGGUGAUGUGCCUAUUUUGACUCCAAUAAGAGGACUGCUCUGCCUGCUAACACAGAGUGGAACUCUGCUGAGAAGAAAUGAGGCAGCCAUUCAUGACACCGCACAUCCUUUCCCAAGCAACCUGUUAUACAAAUGAAACAUUUUUCGUACAUGGCAAAUUCACAAAGGCAGAAGGGAAGAGGUUAGAAGCGUCUGUCUGCAUGGUUCCAUUGUAUGUAAUAGGGAGAAAAACUGGUAAUAAACAUGGUAAUGGGCUCAUUUUCAUAGAUUGAGCUCAUUAAUCUUCUCUAGGGCUGCCUUUAAAUCUUGACAAGAAAUUUGCCACAAAGAAGUAGAGGCAUCGUGAUAUGAAAAAUGUAGUAAAUGGAAUGCCCUGAAAAGCUGAUCCAUCUUAAACGUCAAGCUAAGGGUAAGCUAACCUAUUUCUUAUUACUUCUAUGUAAUCUUCUCUUUGGUAGCUAGCACACGGUACUUGACAUAUUUUUCAAGAUAGAAAAAUAAAGUGACAUCUGUUUAUAGAGUUCACUGGCAGAUCCACACAUUGUGGGCUGUUUUGACAUUUGGUUUCUAAAAAUAGAUUUAGGACAAAUGUAGACAUUCUUUGUCAUGGUUAGAGUCAUCACAGACUCUAGUAGCCUGCGUGAGCUACUCCUGACACCUGAACACCUAUUUUUAGGAGGCCUCAAGGAGUGAGUUGUAGUCGCUGUGGAGAUAUCUGUGAGGCUCCCAGUAAUUCUUAGAUGAUGGAUUCCAUUCUGAACAUGAACUCUCACAAACAAGAUUCAACUUAAAGGACAGAAAACAUUUAUUCUGACAGCACUACCUUGAACCUUGUUUCACCAUUCCAAGAUACUGUAAUAUAACACACCAUUGCAAACUUACUAGACUCACAUGUAUGGUUUGUAUAGACUGGGUUCAAAGUGCACCAUUCUUCAAAGGGACUAGGAAAGUUACUGACUUUGAACACUAACAGUCAGGUGGCUGUGCAUGUACCAGUGUCAGCAUACGAUAGGAGAGGUCAGAUUCUGGGAGGCAGGACAACUCUGAACAGGGAUUCAGUCACAAUAUUUGAGGCUCCAAAUUGUUACAGCGUAUGACACUGAGUACCUUGUGUAGACAUAGACUAGAGAUAGUAGGUAGCUGGAUAACUUUUUCUGGGAUAUUUAGAAUACUGAAUUAAAAACUGGCAGCCCCUUAAAGGAGACAGAGACCUCAAUCAAACUCUUAA
Delphinapterus leucas (beluga whale) is the source of this 2366-nucleotide non-coding RNA. The record is from RefSeq and is a predicted model, not a curated record. NCBI's taxonomy places the organism in Eukaryota, Metazoa, Chordata, Mammalia, Artiodactyla, Monodontidae.